This 433-nucleotide ribosomal RNA is filed under the name uncultured bacterium. RNAcentral's name for it is "partial 16S ribosomal RNA". It matches the Rfam family "Bacterial small subunit ribosomal RNA", at positions 29 to 507 of the family's 1533-position model. The record is from RNAcentral.
AACGAACGCUGGCGGCAUGCCUAACACAUGCAAGUCGAACGCGACCUUCGGGUCUAGUGGCGCACGGGUGCGUAACGCGUGGGAACCUGCCCUUAGGUUCGGAAUAACUCCCCGAAAGGGGUGCUAAUACCGGAUAAUGUCUUCGGACCAAAGAUUUAUCGCCUUUGGAUGGGCCCGCGUUGGAUUAGCUAGUUGGUAGGGUAAAAGCCUACCAAGGCGACGAUCCAUAGCUGGUCUGAGAGGAAGAUCAGCCACACUGGGACUGAGACACGGCCCAGACUCCUACGGGAGGCAGCAGGGGGGAAUAUUGGACAAUGGGCGAAAGCCUGAUCCAGCAAUGCCGCGUGAGUGAUGAAGGCCUUAGGGUUGUAAAGCUCUUUUACCCGGGAUGAUAAUGACAGUACCGGGAGAAUAAGCUCCGGCUAACUCCGUG